This 259-nucleotide ribosomal RNA is filed under the name uncultured bacterium. Its description in RNAcentral is "partial 16S ribosomal RNA". It matches the Rfam family "Bacterial small subunit ribosomal RNA", at positions 29 to 314 of the family's 1533-position model. The record is from RNAcentral.
AGCGAACGCUGGCGGCAGGCCUAACACAUGCAAGUCGAACGCGUGUAGUAAUACACGAGUGGCAGACGGGUGAGUAACACGUGGGAACGUGCCCUUCGGUUCGGAAUAACUCAGGGAAACUUGAGCUAAUACCGGAUACGCCCGUUACGGGGAAAGAUUUAUCGCCGAUGGAUCGGCCCGCGUCUGAUUAGCUAGUUGGUGAGGUACGGCUCACCAAGGCGACGAUCAGUAGCUGGCUGAGAGGAUGAUCAGCCACACU